UUGAAAUCUGGCGUCUUUCAGGCGUCCGAGUUGUAAUCUAUAGAGGCGUUUUCCGCGCCGGACCGCGUCCAAGUCUCUUGGAAUAGAGUAUCAAAGAGGGUGACAAUCCCGUACUUGACGCGACAACCGGUGCUCUGUGAUACGUUCUCAACGAGUCGAGUUGUUUGGGAAUGCAGCUCUAAAUGGGUGGUAAAUUCCAUCUAAGGCUAAAUAUUGGCGAGAGACCGAUAGCGAACAAGUACCGUGAGGGAAAGAUGAAAAGCACUUUGGAAAGAGAGUUAAACAGCACGUGAAAUUGUUAAAAGGGAAACGAUUGAAGUCAGUCGUGUGAAAGGUAUUCAGCCGUCUCUGGCGGUGUAUUUGCCUUUCACGGGUCAACAUCAGUUUAGUCCGGUAGAAAAAGGCUGGAGGAAGGUGGCACCCUCGGGUGUGUUAUAGCCUCCUGUCACAUGUGCCGGAUUAGACUGAGGAACGCAGCUUGCCGCAAGGCCGGGGUUCGCCCACGUACAAGCUUAGGAUGUUGACAUAAUGGCUUUAAACGACC
RNAcentral lists this ribosomal RNA (544 nucleotides) under Cryptococcus sp. grvapbLja7. Its description in RNAcentral is "eukaryotic LSU rRNA". It matches the Rfam family "Eukaryotic large subunit ribosomal RNA", at positions 115 to 649 of the family's 3401-position model. Lineage: Eukaryota; Fungi; Basidiomycota; Tremellomycetes; Tremellales; Cryptococcaceae. The record is from RNAcentral.